UAAAAGUAAGCCUUUUGAUUUCUUAUUGUUUAAACAUUUAAUAUGCGAUUUUAAUUCGUGUUUUUAUAGAUCUAAUCAAGAAAUCAUAGGAUCUAUGUUUUUAAAGCUCGAUUUUGCAUAAAAAUGGUGGAUCUUGCAAUAAUGAGCUAACUAAUGGUUUUACAACAAUUUUUAACUCAUUUUACAGUAAUUAAGAGGUUUAUAAACUUGAUUUAACAAAUCCUUAAAGAGAUUAAAUGAAUCAAAUGAAUUUUCUUCCUUGAGAUUGAAGAUAAAUG
This 278-nucleotide long non-coding RNA is filed under the name Gossypium barbadense (sea-island cotton). RNAcentral's name for it is "long non-coding RNA (GBAR_LNC019163)". The record is from RNAcentral. Lineage: Eukaryota; Viridiplantae; Streptophyta; Magnoliopsida; Malvales; Malvaceae.